GGUGUAGCUUAGUGGUAGAGGGUAUGCUUAACAUGCAUGAGGUCCUGGGUUCCAUCCCCAGUCCCACCA
RNAcentral lists this transfer RNA (69 nucleotides) under Camelus bactrianus (Bactrian camel). It matches the Rfam family "tRNA". Rfam says of the family: Transfer RNA (tRNA) molecules are approximately 80 nucleotides in length. Their secondary structure includes four short double-helical elements and three loops (D, anti-codon, and T loops). Lineage: Eukaryota; Metazoa; Chordata; Mammalia; Artiodactyla; Camelidae. The record is from Rfam by way of RNAcentral. RNAcentral also lists the same sequence under 2 other names.